AUAUAUAUAUGAAUCCCCCUGGGAAGGGCAGGCAGGCACUUCUUUCCCUGUGCCUGCUAGCAUGCCAGGACACUGCCUGUUCCUCUCCCCAUCUGGGAAUCCACCGAUGUGGCUACAAAGCCCAGGUUCAGGAUCAGGCACAAGUAUGCCCUGGCCUGGACCUCAGUGAUUGGACAUCCCUGGGAUACACCUGGUGCAUACCUGGAGCGUACCUUCCAGGCUUCCGGCCACUAGUCCAUCUUGAUCCUGCUCAACCAGUGUCAGAAGGACAACAGGCAUCUGAAUGGAAUCACUUUUCCUGCUGAAACACAAAAUUGGGAACACGCACGGGGUGCUCACUACAGGCCAGGCCUGAUCCUCAGCACUUCACACUCAUUAUGGACUCACAACCGCCAGUGCUGCUGGCCAAGAAUGGUGCUUCCUGCCCAUCCUGUGGGUGAGGUCAUGUGACUAGUUCUAACCAAAGAGCUGUGAGUGAAACUGACACAUAUUAUUCCCAUGCUAGAGCUUAGGGACCCCAUGGACUGCAGCCUACCAGGCUCCUCCAUCCAUGGGAUUUUCCAGGCAAGAGUACUGGAGUGGGGUGCCAUUGCCUUCUCCAAAUUGCCUGUGCAGGAACUUCCAAAGCUCUUAUUUCCUUCUGGUGUGACAGCCAGAAAUGUUCCAGAAUGUGAAUGCUCCACUAAUGACUAUGAUGUGCAAAGCCUCCCCUCAAUGACCCAAAAUAGACAUAAAAC
This is a long non-coding RNA of Bos taurus (domestic cattle), 737 nucleotides long. Lineage: Eukaryota; Metazoa; Chordata; Mammalia; Artiodactyla; Bovidae. The record is from Ensembl.